Long non-coding RNA from Cannabis sativa, 1671 nucleotides. RefSeq lists it as uncharacterized. Lineage: Eukaryota; Viridiplantae; Streptophyta; Magnoliopsida; Rosales; Cannabaceae. The record is from RefSeq and is a predicted model, not a curated record. The transcript is spliced from 2 exons.
AUCAUCACGAUCAUUUGUAUUGAAGUGACGUACUAAUACACUAAACAAAGAAAAACAUGAUAAUUAGUGUGUGAGAUAGAUUACUUUGGGAGUGUUGAUUAAUGAUCCAUCUUAUACCUAAAACGAAAUAAUUGUUGACAGUUAAUUCGGGUAACUGUUAGUUUGUUACAUUUUUUGUAUUUUUUUUUCUUUUAGUUCAAGUUGUAUAAAUAGUGUGUGUCCUAUUCUUUGUAUUUUAAGAUUAGCCUUGCCAAAAUUCUUAUCUCUCUCUCUCUCUCUCUCUCUCUCUCUCUCUCUCUCUCUCUCUCUCUCUCUCUCUCUCUCUCUCUCUCUCUCUCUCUCUCUCAAUGUAAUUACUCCACCUAUCAUUAAAACAACACAAUUAAUUCAACUUGUUCUUGCUGGUUCUUUUAGUCAUUGUUCUCGAUCAUUACUAGUAAUUAGCAGUUUUCUGGUUUCAUUGCUAUAACAUUCCUGCUGUUGCUGUUGUUCAUGUGCUAUAUAUGGUCCUUGAGCACUCGAUCUUGAUUGUCUAGAGGUGAAGUUCGAUCACAACAAGUGGUAUCAGAGCAAGGUUUUAGCUCAAUCAAGAUUCAAAUUCGAAGGGCCUAAGAAUCAUCAAGAAGAUGGCUGCAGCAAGAUUUGAGAUUGACAAGUUCAAUGGAACUAAUGACUUCGGGUUAUGGAGGAUCAAGAUGAAGGCAUUGCUUGUCCAAAAUGGAAUUUCAAAAGCAAUUGAUGAAGAGAGUCUAAAGGAAAUUGAAGAUGAGAAGAAGAAGAAGGAGAUCAAAACAUGCAUAUAGUGCCAUUCUUCUUAGUUUAGUUGAUGAAUUCCUAAGAGAUGUGUUGAGUGAAGAUAAGACUUUAGGUUUAUGGAACAAACUCAGUUCCAUAUACAUGAAGAAGUCCUUGUCAAAGACACAAAAGAAAGAUUUCAAGAACUAGAAAGGAGGCUACAAGGGAAACCAGUUUCCAAAGUCAAAGGAUGACUCAAGGGGAACUACACACAACAAGUGUUUCUAAUGUGAAAAGGAAGACCAUUUUCGAGAUGAAUGCUUGACUCUGAAAGUGAAACUUAAGAGAGAUAGUAAGAAGAACAAGGAGAAAGGAGAAGCUGGUGUUGUAGCUGUUGGCUAUGAAUCUGUAGAUGUGUUAGUGGCCUCAAAUGCAAAUUCUGGUCAUGAAUGGGUUCUUGAUUCAAGAUGCUCGUUUCAUAUGUGUCCAAUCAAAGAACUAUUCAAUGAUCCUGAAGAAAGAAAGGGGGGAAACAAUACUUCUUGGUGAUAACAAAGCAUGUCAAAUCCAUGGAAUCGGUUCAAUUGUGCUCAAAAUGUAUGAUGGAGUCAAGAGGAAUAUUCAGAAUGUUAGUGGCUGAUCUUCACGAAAAAUUGGAAUCGGGUAGGUUAGAGAGGUGAUCUAGAGGCAUAUCUUUUUGGUUGUCGAUCUUGUGAGUUUCGACAUGUAUUGGGAGGUGUUGUCUCCGUUGGGUUGAUGUUCAAGGGCUUAAUGGUUCUAACGCUAUGCAGCUCGAGAAAUAUGAAGAUUUUCCUCUUAGGCGAGGAUCAGAGAGGGUGUCGUGCAUGGUUCACGGAUGCUAGAAGAUUUUAUUUUUACUAUUGUAAUCGACUUAGUAAGCCUAUACUAAUCAUCUAUUUAAGAAAAUUUCUAUUA